GAGCUUGGGUUUUCUCUUCGAUUCACUGCUCCCCAGGUUAGUUGUUUGUUGUCACUCUCCCUUUCCCCGCGCAAUUUGGUAUGGUUCUGGUCAUGUAGCUUCCAGAUCUAGGUCUCGGGGUUUUGUUGGUGCGUUGUUGUUGUAGGUCCUAUUGCUGUUUGAUGAUUUUAGUGGUUGGUUAGUGCGAUUUGUUGUUAGCCAAUGCUCAUUUGUGCAGUUCGUCGCAGAUCCCCUCUUCUCCGCGGAUCCCCUCUGCUCGCGCCAGUUCGUCAUGGAGAACGUCUGCUCCGGUGUUAGGUUUCAGAUUUGAUCUCCUCGUUGUGGGCACUAUUAGGUUGUGUGUUGAUGUGUUUGUCUUCCGAUGGGGUUAGAUUUUGUGUUUUUUCAUGUGUGUAGGCGUGUCUCUGUGUGUGAUUCAGAGCUUUUGCAGUUGAAGUACAGUCAUCUGGUGGUUGUUUAGUGUUUGAUUGCUACUAAUCUGUUUUGAUUGCUACUGAGACUUUGCAGUUUGAUGUUCAGUCAUCUGGUAGUUGUUUAGUGUUUUGAUUGCAAGUAGAAACAUGGGAAGAGAAUGAAUUUCUCUGGUGUGGUAGUAUAGGGAUUCCCCUUUCUUGUUGAUUGCUUGGUCCAGUUUGGCUAGCUAUGAAUUACACUGUAAUACCCCCAGAUUUAUACUGAUAUGCUUCUAUGAUUUACACUGUAUUUGUAGCUCUGAUUUUACAUUUAUAAUCCCUAUAGUUUUACUUUUGUAAGAUCUUAUAUGUAAUGUGUCUCUGAACCCCAGUUUUUAUGAUGUGAAGUUUUUCUGAAUUUCUGUGUAUUGCAUCUCUGAAGUACACUGUAAGACGCUGUAAUUGCACUGUAACUUCUUGUGGUUUUUGCAAUGCAAUCCUCUAGAUUACCCCACUGUAAUUCUUGUGCUUUUGGACUGUAACCCCCUAGAGUUACACUGUAGUGCCCAUUAGCCCUAUUUUGCACUGUACUUUCUUCAGAGUUUUCACUGUAAUUCUUGCCUUGCUUACUAUGUAAAUUGCAUCAGCAUUACAGUGUAAUUUCCAUAGUUUUUUUUACUGUAAUUUGCAUCAGUUAUUACACUGUAAUUCUUGCCUUGAUUACACUGUAAUACCUGCCUUGAUUACACUGUAAUUCUUGCCUUGAUUACACUGUAAUUCAUGCCUUGAUUUACAGUGGAAAGCCCCUCCGGGUUACUAUAUAAUUCUGAGUAUUUUUACUGUGUUAGUUUGCUUAGUUUUUUGUAGUUUACUGCCUCAGUUUACACUGUAAGUUGGAUCAUUAUUACUGUGUAAGCUGGAUCAGUAUUACAGUGCAUGUCUUGUUUACUCUGUAUUUUUUAUCAGUAUUACAGUGUAGUGUAAUUUGGUUUCCUGCCUUGAUUUUACGAUGUAGUUUGCAUAAGUUUUACCGUGUAAUUUCCCUAGUUUUAUUUUUUGUGUAAUUCCUGCCUUGAUUUUACUAUUUUGGAUCAGUAUUAUUAGUUACUUCUCUGUAGUUUUCAGCUUCAUUAUCUAUGGGGAGGCUACGGAAAGUCUCUCACAAGGAUGUUCUGGAAGCAUCUUCUAUUGAGAGUGCAGAUCCUUUGCAAGACCCCUUCGUGCCUAAUGACUUUGCGGAAGAUGGUUCUAAUUGUUGUAGGGCUUACACUGUAAUAUACCAGAGUUUUACCCUGUAAUAUGGUUGAGCACUGUAAUUGUUGUAGGGCUUGUACUGUAAUUUACCAGAGUUUUACACUGUAAUUGUUGUAGGGCUUACAAUAUUUGUCAGAUACAUUACAAUGGAUUUUACCUUUGAAUUGUGGGACUUACACUGUAAUAUACUGCAGAUUUACACUGUAAUUUGAAUAAUCCAGCACUGUAAUUGUUGUAGGGCUUACAGAGUAUUUUUCAGAUAGAUCAUAGUGGAUUUUACGUCUAAUUUUACGGUGUAUUUAUGAGUGUUGAUACCUGGGAAUGACAGUGUAAUUUCAGGGGAUUUACAGUGUAAUUCGUGGGCACUUUGACUGUAAUUCGUGGGUGUUUACAGUGUAACUUCAUCAGUUAUUCAAGUGUAAAUCCUUGGGACUUGCAGUGUCAUUUCCUUUGUAUUUACAGUGUAAAUCCAUUGUAUGCUUUUUCAGAGUUUGCACUUUAAUUUUCAGUUAUAAGGAUUUGCAGUGUAAUUUCUAUUGUUUUGCUAUUG
This 2196-nucleotide long non-coding RNA is filed under the name Triticum aestivum (bread wheat). RNAcentral describes it as "long non-coding RNA (TAES_LNC015379)". The record is from RNAcentral. Lineage: Eukaryota; Viridiplantae; Streptophyta; Magnoliopsida; Poales; Poaceae.